RNAcentral lists this ribosomal RNA (26 nucleotides) under Strombidinopsis sp. RNAcentral's name for it is "partial large subunit ribosomal RNA". Lineage: Eukaryota; Ciliophora; Spirotrichea; Choreotrichida; Strombidinopsidae. The record is from RNAcentral.
UGCAUCUGAGAUCAGGUAGGACCACC